RNAcentral lists this ribosomal RNA (305 nucleotides) under Trichomonas vaginalis G3. RNAcentral describes it as "5.8S ribosomal RNA". The stretch from base 1 to 137 matches the Rfam family "Eukaryotic small subunit ribosomal RNA", at positions 1671 to 1831 of the family's 1831-position model. The record is from RNAcentral. Lineage: Eukaryota; Parabasalia; Trichomonadida; Trichomonadidae.
GCCCGUCGCUCCUACCGAUUGGAUGACUCGGUGAAAUCACCGGAUGCUUACGAGCAGAAAGUGAUUAAAUCACGUUAUCUAGAGGAAGGAGAAGUCGUAACAAGGUAACGGUAGGUGAACCUGCCGUUGGAUCAGUUCUAGUUUUAAUAACUAACACCAACUUCUUUUAUUAAACAAAAACCAAUACAAAAUUAAAAACUAACUUCAUCAAAAACCAGUCUCUAAGCAAUGGAUGUCUUGGCUCCUCACACGAUGAAGAACGUGGCAUAAUGUGUUAAGUAACCGGAGUUGCAAACAUCAUGACA